RNAcentral lists this ribosomal RNA (240 nucleotides) under uncultured Lactobacillus sp. Its description in RNAcentral is "partial 16S ribosomal RNA". It matches the Rfam family "Bacterial small subunit ribosomal RNA", at positions 122 to 355 of the family's 1533-position model. Lineage: Bacteria; Bacillati; Bacillota; Bacilli; Lactobacillales; Lactobacillaceae. The record is from RNAcentral.
UAACCUGCCCAAGAGAUCGGGAUAACACCUGGAAACAGAUGCUAAUACCGGAUAACAACAGAUGAUGCCUAUCAACUGUUUAAAAGAUGGUUCUGCUAUCACUCUUGGAUGGACCUGCGGUGCAUUAGCUAGUUGGUAGGGUAACGGCCUACCAAGGAGAUGAUGCAUAGCCGAGUUGAGAGACUGAUCGGCCACAUUGGGACUGAGACACGGCCCAAACUCCUACGGGAGGCAGCAGUC